GGCAAGGAAAGGAAGAUACAGAAUGGCCCGCAAGGUAGCCGUUGCACUGGUUUCUGUUCUCUACGCCUUCCACAUCAUGUAUGCAGUUUGUGAAGAUCCAGAACUAAGUGAUAGUAGCGAGGACUACUUAAGCGGAGCGUAUG
Molecule: long non-coding RNA, 143 nt
Organism: Rhipicephalus sanguineus (brown dog tick)
Lineage: Eukaryota; Metazoa; Arthropoda; Arachnida; Ixodida; Ixodidae
Exons: 3
Source: RefSeq, a predicted model, not a curated record